RNAcentral lists this ribosomal RNA (2027 nucleotides) under Campylobacter coli. RNAcentral's name for it is "partial 23S ribosomal RNA". It matches the Rfam family "Bacterial large subunit ribosomal RNA", at positions 1 to 1878 of the family's 2925-position model. The record is from RNAcentral. Lineage: Bacteria; Pseudomonadati; Campylobacterota; Epsilonproteobacteria; Campylobacterales; Campylobacteraceae.
AAAAAAGGUAAGCUACUAAGAGCGAAUGGUGGAUGCCUUGACUGGUAAAGGCGAUGAAGGACGUACUAGACUGCGAUAAGCUACGGGGAGCUGUCAAGAAGCUUUGAUCCGUAGAUUUCCGAAUGGGGCAACCCAAUGUAUAGAGAUAUACAUUACCUAUAUAGGAGCGAACGAGGGGAAUUGAAACAUCUUAGUACCCUCAGGAAAAGAAAUCAAUAGAGAUUGCGUCAGUAGCGGCGAGCGAAAGCGCAAGAGGGCAAACCCAGUGCUUGCACUGGGGGUUGUAGGACUGCAAUGUGCAAGAGGUGAGUUUAGCAGAACAUUCUGGAAAGUAUAGCCAUAGAGGGUGAUAGUCCCGUAUGCGAAAAACAAACCUUAGCUAGCAGUAUCCUGAGUAGGGCGGGACACGAGAAAUCCUGUCUGAAGCUGGGUCGACCACGAUCCAACCCUAAAUACUAAUACCAGAUCGAUAGUGCACAAGUACCGUGAGGGAAAGGUGAAAAGAACUGAGGUGAUCAGAGUGAAAUAGAACCUGAAACCAUUUGCUUACAAUCAUUCAGAGCCCUAUGUAGCAAUACAGGGUGAUGGACUGCCUUUUGCAUAAUGAGCCUGCGAGUUGUGGUGUCUGGCAAGGUUAAGCAAACGCGAAGCCGUAGCGAAAGCGAGUCUGAAUAGGGCGCUUAGUCAGAUGCUGCAGACCCGAAACGAAGUGAUCUAUCCAUGAGCAAGUUGAAGCUAGUGUAAGAACUAGUGGAGGACUGAACCCAUAGGCGUUGAAAAGCCCCGGGAUGACUUGUGGAUAGGGGUGAAAGGCCAAUCAAACUUCGUGAUAGCUGGUUCUCUCCGAAAUAUAUUUAGGUAUAGCGUUGUGUCGUAAUAUAAGGGGGUAGAGCACUGAAUGGGCUAGGGCAUACACCAAUGUACCAAACCCUAUCAAACUCCGAAUACCUUAUAUGUAAUCACAGCAGUCAGGCGGCGAGUGAUAAAAUCCGUCGUCAAGAGGGAAACAACCCAGACUACCAGCUAAGGUCCCUAAAUCUUACUUAAGUGGAAAACGAUGUGAAGUUACUUAAACAACCAGGAGGUUGGCUUAGAAGCAGCCAUCCUUUAAAGAAAGCGUAAUAGCUCACUGGUCUAGUGAUUUUGCGCGGAAAAUAUAACGGGGCUAAAGUAAGUACCGAAGCUGUAGACUUGCGCACAACUUAGAUUAUUUAAGUUUAGAAUAUGAGAAACUAAGUUAUAUGUUUAGUUAUAUUUUUACUGAUUUUUAUAGAGUAAAGAUAGAAAUAAAACUUAGUAAAAUCAGUAAAAAUAUUCUUAGAUUAAAGUUAAGUAGUUUAAGUUGUGUGCAAGUGGUAGGAGAGCGUUCUAUUUGCGUCGAAGGUAUACCGGUAAGGAGUGCUGGAGCGAAUAGAAGUGAGCAUGCAGGCAUGAGUAGCGAUAAUUAAUGUGAGAAUCAUUAACGCCGUAAACCCAAGGUUUCCUACGCGAUGCUCGUCAUCGUAGGGUUAGUCGGGUCCUAAGUCGAGUCCGAAAGGGGUAGACGAUGGCAAAUUGGUUAAUAUUCCAAUACCAACAUUAGUGUGCGAUGGAAGGACGCUUAGGGCUAAGGGGGCUAGCGGAUGGAAGUGCUAGUCUAAGGUCGUAGGAGGUUAUACAGGCAAAUCCGUAUAACAAUACUCCGAGAACUGAAAGGCUUUUUGAAGUCUUCGGAUGGAUAGAAGAACCCCUGAUGCCAUCGAGCCAAGAAAAGUUUCUAAGUUUAGCUAAUGUUGCCCGUACCGUAAACCGACACAGGUGGGUGGGAUGAGUAUUCUAAGGCGCGUGGAAGAACUCUCUUUAAGGAACUCUGCAAAAUAGCACCGUAUCUUCGGUAUAAGGUGUGGUUCGCUUCGUAUUAGGAUUUACUCCGAAAGCGAAGAAACUUACAACAAAGAGUCCCUCCCGACUGUUUACCAAAAACACAGCACUCUGCUAACUCGUAAGAGGAUGUAUAGGGUGUGACGCCUGCCCGGUGCUCGAAGGUU